AACGAACGCUGGCGGCAUGCCUAACACAUGCAAGUCGAACGAUGCCUUCGGGCAUAGUGGCGCUCGGGUGCGUAACGCGUGGGAAGCUGCCUUUCGGUUCGGUAUACCUCAGGGAAACUUGAGCUAAUACCGGAUAACGUCGCAAGACCAAAGAUUUAUCACCGAAAGAUGAGCCCGCGUAGGGUUCGCUAGUUGGUGAGGUAAAGGCUCAUCAAGGCGACGAUCCUUAGCUGGUCUGAGAGGAUGAUCAGCCACACUUGGACUGAGACACGGCCCAGACUCCUACGGGAGGGAGCAGUGGGGAAUAUUGGACAAGGGGCGAAAGCCUGAUCAAGCAAUGCCGCGUGAGUGAUGAAGGCCGUAGGGUUGUAAAGCUCUUUUACCCGGGAAGAUAAUGACGGUACCGGGAGAAUAAGCCCCGGCUAACUCCGUG
This 433-nucleotide ribosomal RNA is filed under the name uncultured bacterium. Its description in RNAcentral is "partial 16S ribosomal RNA". It matches the Rfam family "Bacterial small subunit ribosomal RNA", at positions 29 to 507 of the family's 1533-position model. The record is from RNAcentral.